Betta splendens (Siamese fighting fish) is the source of this 2663-nucleotide long non-coding RNA. Ensembl lists it as uncharacterized. The record is from Ensembl. NCBI's taxonomy places the organism in Eukaryota, Metazoa, Chordata, Actinopteri, Anabantiformes, Osphronemidae.
AUGCGCCGGCGCGCGGUUUCUGCUUUUACCGGACGUGACGUCCCUAUUCUUAGAUACUGCAAAGUGAGCGGUAGCGAGAGAAGCGCAACGAGGAGGCGAUCUGAUCGAGAACAAACGGUGAAAUGCAGAAAAGAAACAUGCUUUUCACUGGGAGAGUCAAUGUGGUGUUUAGAAAGGGACCACAUGGCUACCUGCGUCAAGAUCCCUCAGAUGCAGCCAAGCAUCAGACCGGUGCAGACCUGUCCUGCAAGGAUGAAGGAGGAGCUGGUCAGACAGAAUGCCCUGACUGUCGUCCAUCAGAGAGGAGAGGACGCAACAGAGGACAAGGAACUGCUGGGAGAAUACAUUUUCCAAUUUGGCAAAUAUAAAAGCAAGUUUUUUCGCUGGCUCCUUGAAAAUGACAUGAGUUACACCAUCUACCUCAUCAAAAACCAGCGUAAAGAAGAAGCGGCAGGUGUCUUCAAGGCAGAGGGCCACAACAAGGACAGUCUCAUGUCGUUCCUGAGAUAUGCCCCCAGCUUCAGGGAAAAACAGGAUCUUCUGAGCUUUGAAGCUAAAAAGACAGUCCCAUUAGAAGGCGUGCCGGAGGACGACCAGCUCGUUGGUUUUGGUUCCCGUGGGGACCAGACCUGGAGACAGAUGUGGGACAGCAGGAAUGAUGGCUAUACAGCCUUCAUCCUGAAGAAAAGCUGUGUUCAAGGCUCGAGAAUGCAUAAACUCCAGCAAUACCUGCAGAACAAGCAAAGCUGUGCCUCCGUGGAGACUCCUUCCCCACGUCCUUCCCAGAAAGCCAUGCAGAUGGAUGAAAAUACAGAGCUGGAGGCGGCUAUGCUCUGUAUUUCACCUCCCAGACAGGAUUCCCAGAAUGUCGUUGAUGCUGCUGCACCUCCAGCCUUUGGACGAUCAUGUAAAGAAGGUUCUACAUAUGAUACACCCAACUGCCAGCUGUGGAAUAAUGAACUGCUCUCCCAGCUCUGGGACAAUGAAGUCUACCGAACCAAAGCAUGCCUCUAAUGUUCAAGUUGACCACAUUCUGGUCUUGUUUGUUCGCUGCUGUUCUGUUUUCUUGUUGCAGUGUUUGUGUUGCAUAGCCUAAAUGAUGUAACUUGAUCUCCAAGUAUACUGACAUUAUGAUCUCCCCUCUGCCUCAGAGUGUGGAAGAACAGCAGGAGGAGGGUCCGUCCCAUUCUGCUGCACAGAUGCACACAGUUCAGUGAUGUUCAGUAAAUGCCCAAGUUCAAUUAUGUAAGAGUAAUAAGGAACUAUAUCAUGUAACUCUAAAUCUUCUGUAUGUCCAGUCACCAGUUAAGGAGUUGUAUAAACUACAUCUUAUCAAGAAAAUAGAAAGAAAAUAACAAGUAAAUGUUAUAUUUGACCCACCAGAUUGAAAAGACAGAUCUAAAAAAAAUUAUAAUGAAAACUGAAAUUCUCAAACAAAAGCUGGAGGUGAGUGUAUAGUUAGAAGUGAAUUGUAUGAAUUAUUGGAAGAAUUCUAAAAUCUAACAAUUGCCUUUGUAUUUGUAGGAAAUGAAGAAAACCAAAUCAAUGACUUGCAUUUAUUCAGUUUCUUUUAUUGGUGGUGGUGGUUGGUUAAGACAUUAUGGCAUCACAUCUCUAGAGCUCCCCUCUAAUAAUUGCAAUAUUGUGGGGAACAACACAUGCCACAACAAUGUCACAAGCCUCUCAGGUGUUACCCUGAGGUGACGUAGGCCCUGGAGAUGUGCUUUCAGCAGGCCUAUGGUCAUUUCCACCCGGCUUCUUGUUCUGCAGGGCCACAUUAACGCGCUGCUGGGGGCCGGCUUCAGGUUCUGGGUGAGGGGUCAGUAGUGUGGGCUGGCAUGGGAGACCCCUGUCUCCAGCAGAAAGCUGUCAAUCUCUCCUAGAAGAAAGUUCACGUUACUUUGGAUGUUAUUAACUGAUCAUUUUUCAGAUUAGCCUUACUAAAACUAAUUAAAUACCACAUACAUGCAAUCCUGUGAAACCCCUCUUUAAUGGCUUUGAGGAGGUUAUCGCAAGGAAAGCGCCUGAGGUCGAACUAUUCUAAUACUGUGGGUUUUACCAGUGUGCUCAGCAUCUCCAAUGUUAUAAAGAAAACUACCGUUUGCAAAAAGAGUAACGCAACACAAAGAAUCUGCUCGGACGUAAGAGCACGGCCACGAUGGAUGAUGUGUCUGAUGUAUAAGAUUAUUGAUAUAUGUUAUGGAGUCUCAAGAAAAAUGGUAUUUUUACUCCUAAUUUACUCAUAAUUAACUCCUCAAAACCUCUUGCGGCGUAAAUUCAAUGCUGUGCGAAUCAAUACAGCCUCCUCAUCUACAGCAUCGUCUAACGCGACGCGUGACUAACCGGCAACUAGUGAUGGGUCCGGCAACACCGAUGCGUCGGCGCCUGCGUCGAGCUCUUAGAGCGAAACACUGUGUCGGUGCGCGUAUCGCGUUGGGAAAGCACGUGACCGAUACAGUUCCUGUAUCAGUCACUGUCUGACGCGCCAGACUGUGUUUAUAAGGAAGCGCAUGUGUCGGGCUGCAUCUGCCGAAUGGAAUCCCUGAGCGUUUGCCGUCCAUCGUCAUCGUUCAUCUAUAAUUCAUCUCAUAUCGGAAAAUAAGGUUUCUUUUUUUAUUUAAUUUUAUAAUAAAGUGAAAGUUUAUUAUUAAAAUAAUUAAUUA